RNAcentral lists this ribosomal RNA (460 nucleotides) under uncultured bacterium. Its description in RNAcentral is "partial 16S ribosomal RNA". It matches the Rfam family "Bacterial small subunit ribosomal RNA", at positions 338 to 795 of the family's 1533-position model. The record is from RNAcentral.
CCUACGGGAGGCAGCAGUGAGGAAUAUUGGUCAAUGGACGAGAGUCUGAACCAGCCAAGUAGCGUGAAGGAUGACUGCCCUAUGGGUUGUAAACUUCUUUUAUAAAGGAAUAAAACGAGGCACGUGUGCCUUUUUGCAUGUACUUUAUGAAUAAGGAUCGGCUAACUCCGUGCCAGCAGCCGCGGUAAUACGGAGGAUCCGAGCGUUAUCCGGAUUUAUUGGGUUUAAAGGGAGCGUAGAUGGGUUGUUAAGUCAGUUGUGAAAGUUUGCGGCUCAACCGUAAAAUUGCAAUUGAUACUGGCAGUCGUGAGUACAGUUGAGGUAAGCGGAAUUCGUGGUGUAGCGGUGAAAUGCUGAGAUAUCACGAAGAACCCCGAUUGCGAAGGCAGCUUACUAAACUGUGACUGACAUUGAUGCUCGAAAGUGUGGGUAUCAAACAGGAUUAGAUACCCCUGUAGUC